GCUGGAUAGAGUCAUCUUGGAUUUUAUCUGCACGCAAGUGUGGGACCACCAGCUGCUGCUUCACCCACCCAGUCCUCCAGCCUCCACCUUACCUCGUGUCCUCUCUGCUGCAGCUGCCUGACUCUUCCCCAUCCCCAGAUUGGUAACGCUAUGCUCUACCCUACUGAACUUAAGUCACAAGACACUAUACAGCUAGAAGAGAAUGGAAUUAUGGGACAAAAACAUUUAACAAGAUGGAAAAAGAUACUGGAUAUUCCCGGCCCAGUACUUAAAUACUUUCUGUAAAGAAGACAAAGAGAGGCUCAUUUCCACAGUCACUGGUGUAG
This is a long non-coding RNA of Phyllostomus hastatus (greater spear-nosed bat), 326 nucleotides long. RefSeq lists it as uncharacterized. The record is from RefSeq and is a predicted model, not a curated record. The transcript is spliced from 3 exons. Lineage: Eukaryota; Metazoa; Chordata; Mammalia; Chiroptera; Phyllostomidae.